Long non-coding RNA from Oncorhynchus keta (chum salmon), 1426 nucleotides. RefSeq lists it as uncharacterized. NCBI's taxonomy places the organism in Eukaryota, Metazoa, Chordata, Actinopteri, Salmoniformes, Salmonidae. The transcript has 7 exons. The record is from RefSeq and is a predicted model, not a curated record.
UCCCAUCAUGUUAUAAUACUGCUGGAGAGGAGACAGAGGUCCCAUCAUGUUAUAAUACUGCUGAAUGGAGAGGAGACAGAGGUCCCAUCAUGUUAUAAUACUGCUGAAUGGAGAGGAGACAGAGGUCCCAUCAUGUUAUAAUACUGCUGAAUGGAGAGGAGACAGAGGUCCCAUCAUGUUAUAAUACUGCUGAAUGGAGAGGAGACAGAGGUCCCAUCAUGUUAUAAUACUGCUGAAUGGAGAGGAGACAGAGGUCCCAUCAUGUUAUAAUACUGCUGAAUGGAGAGGAGACAGAGGUCCCAUCAUGUUAUAAUACUGCUGAAUGGAGAGGAGGCAGAGGUCCCAUCAUGUUAUAAUACUGCUGAAUGGAGAGGAGACAGAGGUCCCAUCAUGUUAUAAUACUGCUGAAUGGAGAGGAGACAGAGGUCCCAUCAUGUUAUAAUACUGCUGAAUGGAGAGGAGACAGAGGUCCCAUCAUGUUAUAAUACUGCUGAAUGGAGAGGAGACAGAGGUCCCAUCAUGUUAUAAUACUGCUGAAUGGAGAGGAGACAGAGGUCCCAUCAUGUUAUAAUACUGCUGAAUGGAGAGGAGACAGAGGUCCCAUCAUGUUAUAAUACUGCUGAAUGGAGAGGAGACAGAGGUCCCAUCAUGUUAUAAUACUGCUGAAUGGAGAGGAGACAGAGGUCCCAUCAUGUUAUAAUACUGCUGAAUGGAGAGGAGACAGAGGUCCCAUCAUGUUAUAAUACUGCUGGAGAGGAGACAGAGGUCCCAUCAUGUUAUAAUACUGCUGAAUGGAGAGGAGACAGAGGUCCCAUCAUGUUAUAAUACUGCUGAAUGGAGAGGAGACAGAGGUCCCAUCAUGUUAUAAUACUGCUGAAUGGAGAGGAGACAGAGGUCCCAUCAUGUUAUAAUACUGCUGAAUGGAGAGGAGACAGAGGUACCAUCAUGUUAUAAUACUGCUGGAGAGGAGACAGAGGUCCCAUCAUGUUAUAAUACUGCUGAAUGGAGAGGAGACAGAGGUACCAUCAUGUUAUAAUACUGCUGAAUGGAGAGGAGACAGAGGUACCAUCAUGUUAUAAUACUGCUGAAUGGAGAGGAGACAGAGGUCCCAUCAUGUUAUAAUACUGCUGAAUGGAGAGGAGACAGAGGUCCCAUCAUGUUAUAAUACUGCUGAAUGGAGAGGAGACAGAGGUCCCAUCAUGUUAUAAUACUGCUGAAUGGAGAGGAGACAGAGGUCCCAUCAUGUUAUAAUACUGCUGAAUGGAGAGGAGACAGAGGUACCAUCAUGUUAUAAUACUGCUGAAUGGAGAGGAGACAGAGGUCCCAUCAUGUUAUAAUACUGCUGAAUGGAGAGGAGACAGAGGUCCCAUCAUGUUAUAAUACUGCUGAAUGGAGAGGAGACAGAGGUCCCAUCAUGUUAUAAUAG